AUACGGAGGAUGCGAGCGUUAUCCGGAUUUAUUGGGUUUAAAGGGAGCGUAGGUGGGAUAUUAAGUCAGCUGUGAAAGUUUGGGGCUCAACCUUAAAAUUGCAGUUGAUACUGGUUUCCUUGAGUACGGUACAGGUGGGCGGAAUUCGUGGUGUAGCGGUGAAAUGCUUAGAUAUCACGAAGAACUCCGAUCGCGAAGGCAGCUCACCGGGCCGGAACUGACACUGAUGCUCGAAAGUGCGGGUAUCAAACAGGAUUAGAUACCCUGGUAGUCCGCACAGUAAACGAUGAAUACUCGCUGUUUGCGAUACACUGUAAGCGGCCAAGCGAAAGCGUUAAGUAUUCCACCUGGGGAGUACGCCGGCGACGGUGAAACUCAAAGGAAUUGACGGGG
This 393-nucleotide ribosomal RNA is filed under the name uncultured bacterium. RNAcentral describes it as "partial 16S ribosomal RNA". It matches the Rfam family "Bacterial small subunit ribosomal RNA", at positions 523 to 918 of the family's 1533-position model. The record is from RNAcentral.